This 72-nucleotide transfer RNA is filed under the name Elusimicrobiota bacterium. Its description in RNAcentral is "Elusimicrobia bacterium (hot springs metagenome) tRNA-Arg". It matches the Rfam family "tRNA". Rfam says of the family: Transfer RNA (tRNA) molecules are approximately 80 nucleotides in length. Their secondary structure includes four short double-helical elements and three loops (D, anti-codon, and T loops). Lineage: Bacteria; Pseudomonadati; Elusimicrobiota. The record is from RNAcentral.
GUCCCCGUAGCUCAAUGGACAGAGCGGUAGCCUCCUAAGCUACUGAUAUGGGUUCGAUUCCCAUCGGGGACA